GUGAGGAAUAUUGCGCAAUGGAGGCAACUCUGACGCAGCCAUGCCGCGUGCAGGAAGAAGGCGCUACGCGUUGUAAACUGCUUUUAACCGGGAAGACACCCCAGGACGUGUCCUGGGUUGACGGUACCGGAGGAAUAAGCACCGGCUAACUCUGUGCCAGCAGCCGCGGUAAUACAGCGGGUGCGAGCGUUAAUCGGAUUUACUGGGCGUAAAGCGUGCGUAGGCGGCUUUUUAAGUCGGAUGUAAAAUCCCCGAGCUUAACUUGGGAACUGCCUCCAAAACGGCAUGACUAGAGUACGGUAGAGGGUAGUGGAAUUUCCUGUGUAGCGGUGAAAUGCGUAGAUAUAGGAAGGAACACCAGUGGCGAAGGCGACUACCUGGACUGAUACUGACACUGAGGUGCGAAAGCGUGGGGAGCAAACAGGAUUAAAAACCCGAGUGGUCC
This 445-nucleotide ribosomal RNA is filed under the name uncultured bacterium. Its description in RNAcentral is "partial 16S ribosomal RNA". It matches the Rfam family "Bacterial small subunit ribosomal RNA", at positions 354 to 796 of the family's 1533-position model. The record is from RNAcentral.